Molecule: long non-coding RNA, 685 nt
Organism: Tympanuchus pallidicinctus (lesser prairie-chicken)
Lineage: Eukaryota; Metazoa; Chordata; Aves; Galliformes; Phasianidae
Exons: 3
Source: RefSeq, a predicted model, not a curated record
GCUUGAUAAAGCUUGCUAGCAGCUGCAGCAAAGCCAGCAUACAGCCUGAAAGCACAUUUUAGGGGCCAGAUUAUCUUGGUUGCUACUUGAGAAGACAAGCCAAUGCCAGCAUCAGAAAGAAGAGACAGCAGUUUCUACGUCCCUGCCUCUCGUGUGAUCCCUGCAGCCAUGGCUUGAAAAAGAGCAUCAGAACACAGUGCAUGAACUCUUAGAGUCAUACAGCCACAUAAGCACUGCAGUUAACACUUUGGAAUAAUGAUUGCCUUCCAGCCUGAGCAUGACCCAUUGGAACAAACAAAAUUUAGAAAAUCAGCAUAGGCAGCUGAAGGUGAAAACUGCAACCAUAGAAGCGAGAGAGAAUGAAAAGGCAUUUCGUAUCACCUCCUAUGCUUAAAUUUAUGCAGCACCAGUAGCAUAGUAGAGCACUUGAAGGCUAUAAAUGCAACAAACCCAUGUGCAUCCUCUCCCCAUCCCCACCUUCUGUAAAAAGGGAGAACAGUAGAGGAGCAAAGCAUUGUGGACAAAUCCAGAAAUACACUGCUGAACUCAAGAAACCUCUUGGUGGAGAAACAUGAAUCUUUCAGGUCAGUAACCAAGGCUGCAAAUAUCAUUUCAGAGCUGUGAUAUAUUGUACAGCAGCAUGUUAAAAUUACUGUUGUGAGCACUCAAAGUACAGUAGCUCUAC